RNAcentral lists this long non-coding RNA (687 nucleotides) under Chrysolophus pictus (golden pheasant). RNAcentral's name for it is "lncRNA (ENSCPIG00010005602.1)". The record is from RNAcentral. Lineage: Eukaryota; Metazoa; Chordata; Aves; Galliformes; Phasianidae.
GUGCCGUUUGGGGUUGUAUUCAUGGUUUGUUAGAGGCAGGGAGUCAGGGGAUUGCAACACUCAGGGCUCUGUGAGUAAGAGGGGUGUGCGUCUGGGUCCUUGGUGCAGAAGGUUGCCUGCUCUCAGCGCUUUGUGAAGGGAGCAGUCAGGAUAAUGGGUUUGUAUUGCCUUCUGCUGCUGUUCACCCAUUUAGUUGAGCUGGCACAAGAAUUUGUCUGCAGUCUGCAUUCCAGUCAAAGCCAUGGCCAAGAACAACAGAGUGAAGACAUUGAAAAGAGCCACCCAUCCACAGUGCAUCCCAGCAGGCUGGCUCAGGGCAGAGAUCAGCAUCUGAGCAGAUUGUAGCUUCAAAGCUGCUGCACAGUGGCAGGGAUCAGAAGUCUCUGCUGCUUGGUAUUAUUUGGUGCUGGCCUGCUUCUACACAACCUUCAGCAUCAGGGUGGCCUGUUCUGAUGGGCACUGCUUUCUCCACAACACAAUCUGUCCUGUAGGCUGCUGUUGCUCUCCUCUCCAUGGUUUUAAUUUUUUUCUCUGUUUUGUUGGCAAGGAAGGUAAAACUAAUUUCCCCUCAUAUAUGACAAUGGCAAGAAUAUUGUUGACUCAAUAUUGACUCAAUAGCAUGAGGAUAAAUGUAUUUUUAUACUGUGGUGUAUGUUAAGCUAUUUAUAAAUAUUAUAUCACUUCUGG